AGAGUUUGAUCCUGGGCUCAGAUUGAACGCUGGUGGCAUGCUUAACACAUGCAAGUCGAACGGCAGCGCGGGGAGCUUGCUCCCUGGCGGCGAGUGGCGGACGGGUGAGUAACGCGUGGGAAUCUGCCCAGUAGUGGGGGACAACCCGAGGAAACUCGGGCUAAUACCGCAUACGCCCUACGGGGGGGAAAGCAGGGGAUCUUCGGACCUUGCGCUAUUGGAUGAGCCCGCGUCGGAUUAGCUUGUUGGUGAGGUAAAGGCUCACCAAGGCGACGAUCCGUAGCUGGUCUGAGAGGACGAUCAGCCACACUGGGACUGAGACACGGCCCAGACUCCUACGGGAGGCAGCAGUGGGGAAUAUUGGACAAUGGGCGAAAGCCUGAUCCAGCAAUGCCGCGUGUGUGAAGAAGGCCCUAGGGUUGUAAAGCACUUUCAGUAGGGAAGAAAAGCAGGGUGCCAAUACCCUUCUGUCAUGACGUUACCUACAGAAGAAGCACCGGCUAACUCCGUGCCAGCAGCCGCGGUAAUACGGAGGGUGCGAGCGUUAAUCGGAAUUACUGGGCGUAAAGGGCGCGUAGGUGGCAUGGUCAGUCGGAUGUGAAAGCCCUGGGCUCAACCUGGGAAUUGCAUUCGAUACUGCCAAGCUAGAGUGUGGUAGAGGGAAGUGGAAUUUCCGGUGUAGAGGUGAAAUUCGUAGAGAUCGGGAGGAAUACCGGUGGCGAAGGCGACUUUCUGGCUGAAUACUGACGCUGAGGCGCGAAAGCGUGGGGAGCAAACAGGAUUAGAUACCCUGGUAGUCCACGCCGUAAACGAUGUCAACUAGGUGCAGGGGGGCUUGAUCCCCUUCUGUGUCGCAGCUAACGCAUUAAGUUGACCGCCUGGGAGUACGGUCGCAAGAUUAAAACUCAAAGGAAUUGACGGGGGCCCGCACAAGCGGUGGAGUAUGUGGUUUAAUUCGAUGCAACGCGAAGAACCUUACCUGGUCUUGACAUCCCGAAAAAGCCCUAGAAAUAGGGAAGUGCUCUCUUUGAGAGAAUUUGGUGACAGGUGCUGCAUGCGUCAGCUCGUGUCGUGAGAUGUUGGGUUAAGUCCCGCAACGCGCGCAACACUCGCCAUUAGUUGCCAGCAUUACGUUGGGCACUCUAAUGGAGACUGCCCCGGUUAACGGGGAGGAAGGUGGGGAUGACGUCAAGUCCUCAUGGCCCUUAUAUCCAGGGCUACACACGUGCUACAAUGGCCGGUACAGAGGGCCGCGGACCCGCGAGGGCGAGCAAAUCCCACAAAACCGGUCGUAGUCCGGAUCGGAGUCUGCAACUCGACUCCGUGAAGCCGGAAUCGCUAGUAAUCGCGGAUCAGCACGCCGCGGUGAAUACGUUCCCGGGCCUUGUACACACCGCCCGUCACACCAUGGGAGUGGGCUGCAAAAGAAGUAGGUAGCUUAACCUUCGGGAGGGCGCUUUACCACUUUGUGGUUCAUGACUGGGGUGAAGUCGUAACAAGGUAACC
RNAcentral lists this ribosomal RNA (1506 nucleotides) under uncultured prokaryote. Its description in RNAcentral is "partial 16S ribosomal RNA". It matches the Rfam family "Bacterial small subunit ribosomal RNA". The record is from RNAcentral.